This 469-nucleotide ribosomal RNA is filed under the name uncultured bacterium. RNAcentral's name for it is "partial 16S ribosomal RNA". It matches the Rfam family "Bacterial small subunit ribosomal RNA", at positions 28 to 507 of the family's 1533-position model. The record is from RNAcentral.
GACGAACGCUGGCGGCGUGCUUAACACAUGCAAGUCGAACGGUGAAGCGAGUGCUUGCACUCGUGGAUCAGUGGCGAACGGGUGAGUAACACGUGAGUAACCUGCCCAUCACUCUGGGAUAAGCACUGGAAACGGUGUCUAAUACUGGAUACGACCAACCCUUGCAUGGGGUGUUGGUGGAAAGAUUUAUCGGUGAUGGAUGGACUCGCGGCCUAUCAGCUUGUUGGCGGGGUAAUGGCCCACCAAGGCGACGACGGGUAGCCGGCCUGAGAGGGUGACCGGCCACAAUGGGCCUGAGACACGGCCCAGACUCCUACGGGAGGCAGAAGUGGGGAAUAUUGCACAAUGGGCGAAAGCCUGAUGCAGCGACGCCGCGUGAGGGAUGACGGCCUUCGGGUUGUAAACCUCUUUCAGCAGGGAAGAAGCGAAAGUGACGGUACCUGCAGAAGAAGCACCGGCUAACUACGUG